This is a non-coding RNA of Electrophorus electricus (electric eel), 74 nucleotides long. Lineage: Eukaryota; Metazoa; Chordata; Actinopteri; Gymnotiformes; Gymnotidae. The record is from the annotation of a RefSeq genome assembly.
GGCUGAUUAGCUCAGUUGGUCAGAGUGUGGUGCUAAUAACACCAAGGUCAUGGGUUCGAUCUCCAUAUAGGCCG